GACGAACGCUGGCGGCGUGCUUAACACAUGCAAGUCGAACGGAAAGGCCCUUCGGGGUACUCGAGUGGCGAACGGGUGAGUAACACGUGGGUGAUCUGCCCUGCACUUUGGGAUAAGCCUGGGAAACUGGGUCUAAUACCGAAUAUGAUCAUCGGCUUCAUGGUCGGUGGUGGAAAGCUUUUGCGGUGUGGGAUGGGCCCGCGGCCUAUCAGCUUGUUGGUGGGGUAAUGGCCUACCAAGGCGACGACGGGUAGCCGGCCUGAGAGGGUGACCGGCCACACUGGGACGGAGAGACGGCCCAGACUCCUACGGGAGGCAGCAGUGGGGAAUAUUGCACAAUGGGCGCAAGCCUGAUGCAGCGACGCCGCGUGAGGGAUGACGGCCUUCGGGUUGUAAACCUCUUUCAGCACAGACGAAGCGCAAGUGACGGUAUGUGCAGAAGAAGGACCGGCCAACUACGU
Molecule: ribosomal RNA, 461 nt
Filed under: uncultured bacterium
Lineage: Bacteria
Description: partial 16S ribosomal RNA
Rfam family: Bacterial small subunit ribosomal RNA
Source: RNAcentral